RNAcentral lists this ribosomal RNA (457 nucleotides) under Stenotrophomonas sp. Its description in RNAcentral is "bacterial SSU rRNA". It matches the Rfam family "Bacterial small subunit ribosomal RNA", at positions 73 to 522 of the family's 1533-position model. Lineage: Bacteria; Pseudomonadati; Pseudomonadota; Gammaproteobacteria; Lysobacterales; Lysobacteraceae. The record is from RNAcentral.
UAAGAGCUUGCUCUUAUGGGUGGCGAGUGGCGGACGGGUGAGGAAUACAUCGGAAUCUACUUUUUCGUGGGGGAUAACGUAGGGAAACUUACGCUAAUACCGCAUACGACCUACGGGUGAAAGCNGGGGAUCUUCGGACCUUGCGCGAUUGAAUGAGCCGAUGUCGGAUUAGCUAGUUGGNGGGGUAAAGGCCCACCAAGGCGACGAUCCGUAGCUGGUCUGAGAGGAUGAUCAGCCACACUGGAACUGAGACACGGUCCAGACUCCUACGGGAGGCAGCAGUGGGGAAUNUUGGACAAUGGGCGCAAGCCUGAUCCAGCCAUACCGCGUGGGUGAAGAAGGNCUUCGGGUUGUAAAGCCCUUUUGNUGGGAAAGAAAUCCAGCUGGUUAAUACCCGGUUGGGAUGACGGUACCCAAAGAAUAAGCACCGGCUAACUUCGUGCCANCANCCGCGGUA